RNAcentral lists this non-coding RNA (1815 nucleotides) under Phrynobatrachus steindachneri (Steindachner's river frog). RNAcentral describes it as "partial contains 12S ribosomal RNA, tRNA-Val, and 16S ribosomal RNA". The stretch from base 11 to 953 matches the Rfam family "Bacterial small subunit ribosomal RNA". The record is from RNAcentral. Lineage: Eukaryota; Metazoa; Chordata; Amphibia; Anura; Phrynobatrachidae.
UAAGUUCUUAGAACACAGAGAUUUGAUCCUAGUCUUAUUAUCAGCCAUCUUUUGACUUACACAUGCAAGUAUCCGCACAACCGUGAGAACGCCCUUUUACCUCCCCCAGGCUAAGGAGCUGGCAUCAGGCACAGAACCCUGGCCCAUGACGCCUAGUUUUAUCACACCCCCAAGGGUGAUUCAGCAGUGACAAAUAUUGCCCCAUAAGCGCCAAGCUUGAUUCAGUUAAAAAGAAAAGGGCCGGCCAAUACGGUGCCAGCCGCCGCGGCUACACCGGUAGGCUCAAGUUGAUAAUUUUCGGCGUUAAGCGUGAUUAAAGGCCCCCCCACAUAGAGUAAAACAUACACCUAGUAGUAAUAAGCUUGCUGUCUGGAACAUUAAAACGAAAGUCACUCUAACCACCCCUUGAACCCACGACAGCUAGAUGAACAAACUGGGAUUAGAUACCCCACUAUGCCUAGUCGUAAAAUUUUAACCAAAAAUAGCCACGCCAGGGAAUUACGAGUUUAACUUAAAACCCAAAGGAUUUGACGGUGUCCCACCCACCUAGAGGAGCCUGUCCCUUAAUCGAUAACCCCCGCUUUACCCUACCACUUCUCACUUAGUCUGUAUACCUCCGUCGCAAGCCCACCAUAUGAAUGUAAGUGGGCCAAAGGGGGGUUUAUUUUCCCAACACGUCAGGUCAAGGUGCAGCUUAUGAAGUGGAGUGAGAUGGGCUACAAUUUCUAUCAUAGAACAUACGAAAAGACAAAUGAAAAUCAUCUAUGAAGGUGGAUUUAGUAGUAAAAAGAAAAUAAAGUGUUCUUUUUAAUUUAGGCCCUGGGACGUGUACACACCGCCCGUCACCCUCUUCAACAACACCCUUUUAUGUUUAUAACCCAUUUUUUCCCCAUAGAAGAGGCAAGUCGUAACAUGGUAAGUGUACUGGAAAGUGCACUUAGUUCAACAAAAUGUAGCUUAACUAAAGCACCUCGCUUACACCGAGCAAAUGUUUAUUGAUUUAAACCAUUUUGAGCCUAAAAUCUAGCCCAACCUGCCAAAUGUAAAACCUUCCUUUUUUCCCCAAAAUAAAACAUUUUACUUCUUUAGUAAAGGCGAUUAAAAAACUUCUUGGAGCUUAAGACCUAGUACCGCAAGGGAACGAUGAAAUAGAAAUGAAAUAAACCUAAAGCCUUAAAAAGCAGAGCACCCCUCGUACCUUUUGCAUCAUGGUUUAACUAGAAAAAUAGAGCAAAACAAAACUUUUAGUUCAACACCCCGAAACUAGGCGAGCUACUUUGGAAUAGCUUUAUAGAGCCAACCCGUCUCUGUCGCAAAAGAGUGGGAAAAUUUCUAAGUAGAGGCGACAAACCUAUCGAGCCUAGAGAUAGCUGGUUAUUCAGGAAAAGAAUUUUAGUUCUACUUUAAGACUUACACAUUACAUAAAACAAUAACCUAAGCUUAAAAGUUAUUCAAAUAAGGCACAGCUUAUUUGAAACAGGAUACAACCUAAAACCCCGGGUAAAAUUUUCUAGUACUAAUAUAAAGUAGGCCUAAAAGCAGCCACCUUUAAAAAAGCGUUAAAGCUUUCUUACACCGUACAAUUAAUCCCAUAAACACUUUACAACCCUCCACCAAUACUGAAUGAUAUUAUAGCUAUAUAAUGUACCUUCUGUUAAAACUAGUAAUAAGAAAUUGACUUUCUCCUAAAUAUAAACUUAAACCAACCUUGACCAUCUACUGGUAUUCAACGCAAAUGACCUAAUUAUAGUAAACCCACCCGCAAACUCUAUAACCUUAAGCGUUACCCUAACACUAGAAUAUUUUAGGAAAGAU